UCUCCCAUAUUCUUCUUCCCCGACUAAAUAAUCCGGACGUUUUGGUUGGUUUUAUUAAGCGGGUGUAUACCGUAUUAUCCUAUCCGACCGGUUAAAUUAAUCCGGUGCUUAUUUAGUACGAGUGAACGCCAAACACCCGGGUCCGUAUAACUAAUCAUAUCCGAUCCUUUAUCCGAUUUGCCAAACAGGGCCUUAGCGUAUUCGACAUUCCGAGUCGCGUGGUGUACUCCGUUUGUGCAAAAUCAAUAUCUGAAUAAUACUUUUGAAUGUUGAAUUAGAGAAAUGUUCAAAUGUGAUUAGUAGAACUAAAUAAUACAUUCACACGUACAAGUUUGACUAACUCGGACGAAGGCGGAGGCGCCUAUUCAGGAUUUACGCUAGGAAUACCUAUGAUUGGAUCUCUUCAAAACUAAUUUUUUCGAUUAAACUAUUUCUUGAUGUAUUUAACUGUUUUGAAGGUAGUAUUGGAUGAGACUUAUGUAGAAUUGGUUAGAUGACCAUAUAAUUGAAUCAUCCAUAUUGGUGAUUUAUUUUCACCACAUGGUCUUUCAUAUAUCUUGUAUAGCUAUCUUCGGUCGUAGGAUACUUGUUGGUGUUCAUAUGUUUCUAGUAGACACUAGCAAUGCAUAGGUAGACGUCAUGUAUACUUGCAUUCCAUACUUAUGCUAGUAGAUGCUAGUAUUAUUAUUGUUUGGUCAUGUAUGAUUUCUGAAUUUAUGAUUUUGAUUGUGGUUUCGUUUAACAUAUAUUGUAGUAGAUAUUAGUAUGUAAUUGUACACUAUACAUGUUUUCUAAAACGGGGGUUAGUAUGUUCAAAAUGAUUUAGAGUCUAUAAAUAAUUUGUGCCCCCUCAGGACCUAGAGAUAACAAGACAACUAUUGAGGAAGACAAGUGGGCUUUGCAGUAGUGCGAACUCUCUACAGAGUAGGGUAGUUUUACUUAUGCUUUAUCUUUUAUCUAGUUGUAAUAAUAUGCAUGAUUGUACUUUUUUGGUUAUGCAUGACACAACAUGUACAUACAUUUGUGGUUUCUGUUGUAUGCACUACUAAUAUGUUCUGAACAAUGUGAUAAUAAUGGUUUAAAUCCUAAUGUGUCCCCAAGUAGAGAGGUUGUAUUGGAACUCAAGGAUAUUUUUUUAAUAUUAAUAAUAAUGAGCUUCUCAGUUUGAAUUUAUUCACAUCUUAAUUUCUAUACUCAUAGCUUCGUCGUUAAGUUGAUGGUAUUUUGUCACCUUACGGUGAGGUUAUUGUCAAUUUAGUGAUGACUAGCACAUCAUCACCUUUUUAACUAGUUGGUUAUUGGGUUGGGGCGUGUCAUGUUAGAAUGAGUAUGAGAUAGAGAAGUUUCAGAGAACCGGCUAUGGGUAUUUAGUUUGGUAGAAAAGUCUUAUUGACAAGAGGAUUGCUAGUCCUUAAUGAAGAAAGGUUUUGCAUAGCAUUAAGAUCAGUUCUUGCGGAACAAGGAAAGCAAGUAUUUGUUUUCUAUAAGGAUUUUAAUGGGGAAUCCUUUUCUGGUAUGGAAAAGAUUAUAUGUAUAUAUAGUGGUCUCUUCUCUCACAGAAUACACUGUCAUAUAGAGACUUAAGCCUAUUAUAAGUCGAGCUCUUGAUUUUCUAGGAGAGAGAAGAAGGUUCACUGAAGGCUUAGCUUUAUGGCUUCUAGUUCGGGAACUUUUGCAGGUAUGUUUUCUUCUUUUUUCACUCACACACAAAUUCUGGUUAGUUCUUAUUAGGUUGUAGUUCAUGUUUUAAUCUUGGUUAGUAUUUUAAUUCUUACAUGUGGCAUCAGAGCCACAAGAUUUAUAAACAUGAGUUCAAUCGGUAGAGAUCAAACGUUUGUGUUAUCAUUCUAUGUAUAAAAAAAAAAAAUUUACUCUUGCUCUCAUGAAGAAUCAAAGUCUGGUUUUGGAGAUUGUAAAAGAAGUGGUGAUGGAAACAACAAACUAACGCCCUUUUAAAAAAUAAAAAUAAAAAAAUAAAAAUAAACUGUUGGUAUCCCUAAACCACUGCCCAAUGAGGGUUUUCUCGGAUUAGAGUCAGUUUUAAUUCCUUUCAUGAACAAUGAUCUGGGUUUUUCCCUUAAGUGCUAAAAGCUUCUGUUUUCAAAUUCUAAAUCGCUUCCGCUGUUCUAUUGGUGAAUUUGAAAUCAGUGAUUACAAGAACUUCUGCAGGAUCUGCAAUAUCAUUAAGGACUAUGAACUUGGCCAAUAUUCCCAUUCUCACUGGGGGAAGCAACUACAAGAAGUGGAGACGAGAGAUUGGACUGUUGUUGACACUUAAUGAGUUUGAUGUUGCAUUGGAUACUCCCAAACCAAUUCUGACUGAUCAAUGUACACAGGCUGAGAAAGCAGAUGCAGAGAGAUGGUUCAUUUGAUGCUUUUAUAACAGUUAGUCUGUUCAAGCAAUUGUUAUUGAAUUGUUGGUUCAUACAUUGUUUUGGAGCAAUUGAUUGUCUUUAAAUCUUGCUGUCAAUGUUAUGAAAUAGUGGGAGCAAAUUUAUACA
Long non-coding RNA from Pyrus x bretschneideri (Chinese white pear), 2501 nucleotides. RefSeq lists it as uncharacterized. The record is from RefSeq and is a predicted model, not a curated record. NCBI's taxonomy places the organism in Eukaryota, Viridiplantae, Streptophyta, Magnoliopsida, Rosales, Rosaceae. The transcript has 2 exons.